GUCCUCGGUCAGUGUAAGACAAAUCAGGCCGCGUCCGUGGGUGGCCAUAAAGUUGAUCGCCUCAGGUGUGACUUUCGAUGCCGCCAUCG
Molecule: non-coding RNA, 89 nt
Filed under: marine eukaryotic metagenome
Source: RNAcentral